AGUGCCAUUGUUGAUCAUUUACAUGACUCCACGCCUAGGGCUUUGAACUACGCGGCAGCUCAUGGUCUUGUGCUGGUUUCACAUCUUCCUUGGAGGUUCAAUAUGCAGGCCAGAGCCGCUCGUGAUUCUUGGAAAGACCCGCGCCGGAGAACCCCACCUCGGGGACAGGGAAAAUACCCAGUGGCAGGGGUAGGAGGAGGAAGAAUUCGGCACGUGGGAAAAGAAAAUCCAUGUUAGUGCCUAGAGCAGAAACAUCUGAUCAGGUUGCUUUUCAGGAUGUUUAUGGAAGCUGCUGGAUUGGAAGAAAGGUCUGAACUCAAAGUGUACUGUUUGCAGUGAAGUUUUCUGAUAAAUGGUUGACAACAACUGCCUGCAAUUUGCUGGCUACAACUUCAAAGAGUUUCUGCUUGGGAAUUCCAGACAGAUAAAUUGCUAAAAC
Long non-coding RNA from Mauremys reevesii (Reeves's turtle), 439 nucleotides. RefSeq lists it as uncharacterized. NCBI's taxonomy places the organism in Eukaryota, Metazoa, Chordata, Testudines, Geoemydidae. The record is from RefSeq and is a predicted model, not a curated record. The transcript is spliced from 3 exons.